RNAcentral lists this long non-coding RNA (384 nucleotides) under Gossypium raimondii (Peruvian cotton). RNAcentral describes it as "long non-coding RNA (GRAI_LNC008829)". The record is from RNAcentral. Lineage: Eukaryota; Viridiplantae; Streptophyta; Magnoliopsida; Malvales; Malvaceae.
UAAAUAAUUCAAUAAAUUUAACUCUUUGUAUUUAUAAAUUCUAUUAAUUAAAAUUUUAAACAUCCUAACCAAAACUUUCAAUUUUUAAAACUGAGUUUUUCUAAUUCCUGGUUGUUCUUAGAUUGAGCACACAGAUUUUGAAACCAAAUAACUACAAAAGAUUAGAGAACCAAACACUCAGACUCCCGUGACCUGCAUUUGGUGCUAUCCUUCCUCCUCUUUGCAUCCUGUUCCUUUCAUUGUUUAAAAAAAAAAAAAUUAUCUAUACAGAGUUUGAGCUACCGAACCAAUCAACCCCCAUGUGUCCCUUUCUUUCUUGUUUCAUUCAUUCUUUCAAACACUAUUUUUAAAAGGUUUUUUAAGGUACUCACUCCACCAUUUCCC